GUAAGAAUCUCAAUUGUAUUGCUUUGAUCGUGCGUGUUCGAGUUCAUUCAUUCAAACUUGCACCAACAAUGAUCUGUUCAUGAGCAUGAAUGAUGAAAUCUAUUAUCAUUAAUCCUUCUAGGAAAGAGUAUGGUUUGAUGGUGAAUUACUACACAAGGAGAGGUGAUAUGAACGGUGCACGUGAAAUCUUUGAAAAUAUGCGAGCUAGGGAAAUAGAACCAUGGUCUCAUGUCUACACAAAGUAAUAACUACUCCUAUUUUCUCCCUUUCUUUCGUCAUAUGUUAAUUUGAUCUCAACGUUAGCUUAAUAUUUUUGCUUCAUUUAUUGACAUAAAGGUCACCAUUCUAGUUUUGAAUAUGGUUAAAGUUUGAUUGAUUUGUA
Cucumis sativus (cucumber) is the source of this 382-nucleotide long non-coding RNA. RefSeq lists it as uncharacterized. The record is from RefSeq and is a predicted model, not a curated record. The transcript has 2 exons. NCBI's taxonomy places the organism in Eukaryota, Viridiplantae, Streptophyta, Magnoliopsida, Cucurbitales, Cucurbitaceae.